UUAAAGGAGAGAACUUUAUAAAAUGCGCUUGUUUGGCCUCCAUUCCUUUGCAUUCUAUUCUAUUUUUUCCCAUAAAAUUUCGAAAAUAACGUACAAAAUGUGUUAGAAUCAUGCCUGGCUUUCCCGAUAAAUUAUUAAUACACAUGCAAGAGAUUUUUGUGGUCAAAUCUUGUUUUGUGUGACAUUCCAAUUCUGCCCUUCCACUUAUUGAGCCAUUCCACGCACGUGCAAUUGGUUACCAACUCCCACCACCUAAAUUGUUUAUUCAUUAUUUUUGCAAUCAUGUGUUUGUACAUUAAUAAAAGACCACACGUAACUCGAGCAAUAAAAAAAAGACAUGCCAUUUUUUGCAACCAACAAAUCAGCUUGUAUAGUGCCAGUAAAAAACGACUCCCGAAAUGCGGAAAAAAAAAUCAUGUAAUUUUCCGACCAACAAAUUAUUUCACCGUCAAGUAGAC
RNAcentral lists this long non-coding RNA (458 nucleotides) under Olea europaea subsp. europaea. Lineage: Eukaryota; Viridiplantae; Streptophyta; Magnoliopsida; Lamiales; Oleaceae. The record is from RNAcentral.